RNAcentral lists this unclassified non-coding RNA (7504 nucleotides) under Homalodisca vitripennis (glassy-winged sharpshooter). RNAcentral describes it as "aT-rich interactive domain-containing protein 4B- like, transcript variant X2". Lineage: Eukaryota; Metazoa; Arthropoda; Insecta; Hemiptera; Cicadellidae. The record is from RNAcentral.
GUGAGGCUCUGCGCCUGCCGAUCGUUUGUGUAUCUAGAGGAGACGAAUUUGGACAGGUAGAUUGUUAUUUUAGUGAUUAUAUGUGCAAGUUAAUUAAUAUAGUUUCAAUGUUCCAGUAUCGCAUAUGAUGAUCAACUAUGGAUGUCUUUUAAAGGCCUCAAAAUUCUGUCAUUAAUGCAGCGGUGGGGCAGCAAGAGGGAGAUGAUGGGAGAUGACCCACCCUACUUAGCUGUGGGCACUGAGGUGAGUGCCAAAUACAAGGGUGCAUUUUGCGAGGCCAAGGUUCGCAAGAUCGUCCGAAGUGUGAAAUGCAAGAUUGCAUACAAAUUAGGCCUUGGCACUGCUGUUGUUACUGAUGAUCAAAUAAAAGGCACUCUAAGAGCCGGAUCAGUAGUGGAGGUGAGACAUGCAGAUAAGAAAGAAUAUGUGGAGGCAACUAUAAUAAAAAUACAAGACUGCAGCCAGUACACAGUUGUGUUUGAUGAUGGGGACAUUACAACACUGCGGCGUACAGCACUGUGUCUCAAGAGCGGAAGGCACUUUGCAGAGAGCGAGACUCUGGAUCAACUGCCUCUCACUCAUCCAGAGCAUUUUGGGAAUCCAGUGAUAGGUGGCCGCCGUGGCAGACGGAAUAGGCAUGAUGACAGCAGUGAUGAUGAGGAAUCGUCGAAGAAAGGGAAGCAACCAAAAGAGGAAAAGGAAGCAGAUAUUGGGAAGGUGGUGUGUGUGGAGAUUAGCGAAAAGAAGAAACAGAAGGAUAAUUGGUUUCCGGGUUUGGUUGUGGCCCCGACUGCUCAGGAUACUGUCAAGAUAAAUGUAAAGGAGGACUACCUUGUACGCUCUUUCAAGGAUGGCAGAUACUACACAGUUCCUAAGAAGGAGGCUACACCUUUUACAAGAGAAAUUGGUCAGAAAGUCGAUAACAACACACUGAGAGCAGCCGUGGAGAAGGCUCUGUUGUUUCUGGACAGAGAUGAGUUGCCGCCACACUGGGAUCGGGAAUUGCUCUUUGGUCUCACCGAGAUUACAGACACUGACUCUGAUGCAGCCUUUGAUUCUGAUACAUCAGAUGAUGAGCCAAGAGAAGAGAAGGAUCACUUUGUGGCUCAGCUAUAUAAGUUCAUGGAUGACAGAGGCACUCCGAUCAACAAAGGACCCACCAUCAAUGGCCGGGAUGUCGACCUUUAUAAGCUUUUCAAGGUUGUACAUAAGCUGGGAGGCUGUAACAGAGUCACCAAUCACAACCAGUGGAAGACUGUCUCCCACAAACUAGGUUUUGGUCAGAACCCCACCUCUGUCAAUCUGGUCAGGCACGCUUAUAAAAAGUUCCUUCACAGUUUUGAAGAUUUUUACCGCAAGUUGGGCUGCACAAUGGUUAAUCACCCACGAGGUCAUAGAGCUCGACACCGCUCCAGCCGCAGCCUCAUUCGUGACAAGGACAAGUCUGUACCAGUUAAGGACAAACAAAGUGAAAAAGAUACGGAAGAAACUAAGGAAGAACCAAUAGCUGAACAUAGUAAAGAUAAAGAGAUCAUACCAAAAGAAGAACCAAAAUCUAAGGAAAUGGCAACAGAACCUCCAAAACCUCUUAGAGAAUCGCGAAAAGAAUCACAAAGGCCCAGAAAUGACAAAGUUGAGAAGAAAGAAGAAGUAAAAGCAACACCUUCAGUACCGAAGACAUCUGAAUUAACAACCAUAACAAAACCUAUUCGAGAGGAUAAAACCAAAUUAGAUGACAGAGAAGAAAGGAUAAAAAUGAGAGAAAUGGUCAAACUUGACAAUAUUGUUAAAGACGAAUCAAAAACUGAAAAAGAUAACACUAACCAGAAAGUAAUAAAAGAUUUAAAAAAUGAGGAAAGUCAAAGGCUAGUAAAAGCAUCACGUAGAGAUAUUAAGGAAAACAAAAAAGAUGAUAAAGAAGAUGAAAAAAAUAAACUGCCUCAUGAACGAGAAGUGAGACCUAAAAAGACAAAUCCUGUGGGUACACAAGGUUCAGAUGAAACUAAAGUAACAAAAAUUCGAAGUUUGUUUUCAAAAAUUACUGGAUCUAAACGUGUGAAACCUGUAACAGAUAGUAAAAUACCACGAGCAGGUAAACCUAUGGGCCUAAACGCGGUCCGACAGAAACGCACAUUUUCAGAAAGGAUGAAAGCGAUGGUAAAAAAAUUCAAAAUGAAACCAGCUGUGAAACAUUUAAGGCACAAAUCGCCCCCUCCGUCUGAAAGUAAGGAGGUGGAAGAGAAGAAAAAGCCAGUUCCUGAAGAAGCUACCAAAGUGACUGUUCCUCAGCUGACCAGGUCGAAAUCCAAGGAAGAGGUCUCUUGUAAGCUCCGCAAACCUGAUAUAGUCCAUGACAAAAAAUCUGCUGUGCCCUCCACAUCUCAGCCAGUACACCUGGACAAGAAACAGGGCCAUUCUAAGAAACGGAAGGAUGAAGAGAAAAACUCUACCAAUGAUGAAACAAUGGACCAGUUGCCAAACUACAAGACUGUCGCUGUGGGGGACAAGUUGAAGGUGUAUUACGGGCCGACACACGAGUCCAAGGUGACAUAUGAGGCCAAGGUGUUGAGUCUGAAGGUGGAAGACCAUGAGACUCUGUACCUUGUCCACUAUACUGGCUGGAACACAAGAUAUGAUGAAUGGAUAAAGCGUAGCCGUAUCGCAGAUAAUCUCAGUUGGACCCCUGGACGUGCCAAGCGCACACGCCAACAACCGUCCACUCAGCAGCAGCCCUCGCAGUCACAUGUCCGAGUGUACAAACGCUCCAAGAGUGGGGAGACAGUAGCUCCACGUUCCACCACACCCUCAUCGGUCACUUCAUCAUCCAGUCGCACAAAAAGUCCUGCUGUAAGUGGUGCUCCUCGCAGCAUGCGCUCCAGAGCAAGGACCCGCCGUGCUUCAGGCCACACACACACAGAUUUCUCAGAGUCUGAAAUGGAGGACGAAUAUGAAAGUGAUGAUCAAGUUAAGGAUAGUUGCAAUGACCAGCGGCCGGAGAGUGAAGAAAAGGAUUCAAAGGAGCUAAAGGAUAUCUUGUUGGAUAAGAUGCGGGCUCGAAGAAGAAGAGUUGAGGUGGAAAGUGGAGGGGAAAGUGAGGACAUAGAAAAACACAAGAAAGGUAAAGAAGAAAGUGAAGAGGAGGGACAAAUAGAGCGGACAAGAAGUAGAAGUGAGAAAAGGAGAUCAGAAGAGCUACCGAAAAUAAACUCAACAGGAUCAGAUGAAGUUAAAAAAGAAAUUGUUGAUUCGUAUCGAAGUGAUAGAUUGAGAAAUAAGCGUAAAGUUACAGAGGAGAAAGUUGACAGUAGUGAUGAAAGAGAAACUAAACAAGAAACUAAAAUUGAGGAAGCUAAAAAUCAGAAAUUACCUCAAGAAGAUAAACGUAAACCUGAUACUAAGCCAUUAACAAUAGAAUUAGAAAAGGUAGAAAGUGAACAGCAAGAAUUAGAUUCCAAGAAGAAACUUAAAAGGAAAUUUAAUGAUUCCUCUAUGGAAGAAGAGAGUAAAGAACCUCAAGUAAGUGAAAGAAGAAGAAGUAAAAGAGUAACACCAAGAAAAGAAGACUUAAAAUCAGUGAAUAUUAAAGAAGAAGAUGAUCAACCAAGAGGGAGGGAAUUUGAUUUAAACCAAAUUAGGUCAGAAUUAAAAGGUAUAACUCAAGCUAAUAAAAUACCUGUUGAAACUGUUAAUUUCACUGAAAAGGAUGAUGAAGAUAGUGAUGAGAAACCUGAUGAUGAAGAAUCAUUGAAAGAAGAAGACCUUAUAAAAAAAGAACCAGAUUCUAUGCUUGAAGAUAUUUAUGAAUUCAAAGAACCUGAACCUUUUGAAUUUGAAGUAAGAUCAAAAUGUGGAGAAGAAAAAGGAGGUAAAAUUCAAAGGCGAUCUUUUGGCAGGAUGUGUGAUGAAUCUAAUUCCACAUCUCCAGUGUCAGUUAGGAAAAAAUUAAUAAAAAUGAAAUCUGAAUCACCAAAUUCACUUGAAAAUAAGCGAACUGUUAAAAAGACAAUUUUAAAAUUAGAAGAUGAAGAGAUCGAUAAAGCUGAAUCGGAAUCUGAAAGCGUUGAUGUUAAGAAAGAACUUGAACCUAAUGAGGACUUAACCAUCCGGUCAAGUUCACCUCAAGAAAAUCCUAAAACUGAGAAUGACAUGUCGUCAGAUAUGGAUAAAGAAGUAGAGGAUAACAACUUAGGACCUAAACAUGUUGAAGAUAUUUUUCAGCCUCUUAGUUUAUUCAGUAACCUGCCAGGUGAAGGAGAGAGUGCAGGAAUUGAUGAAGACAGUGAAGGUCGUCUUGUCAUAUCUGAACCAGAAACAGAGACAGAAUCUCAAGGACCUCUUUUUUCACACCAACAAAGAGACCAUGAAGAUUUCUUUCCAACUUCAAUUACACAAUCUUCUUCCGUUGAGAACUCUCAGAACAGAUCACCGUUUUCUGGAUUUACGGAUAAGUUAAAAGAUGACGAAGAUGAAACCAAAGUUGAGGAAAAGUCCAGUGUUAAAAAAGAAGAUGAUGAUGAUGAGGCUGAAGAGGAUCCCAUUAUCAGUGCCAUUCAAAGAGUUCAAAGGGAGUUUUCACAAUCUACUGGAGAUGAAGACAGUAAUGACAUUGAUCUUCUUUCUGAGCUCCCAGACCCCAUGCACAAAAAAGAUCAAGAUUUCAUGUCCAUAGUCAAAGAUAAUGAAAAUGACAGUAAUUCAGAAAACAGCAAAGAAAGUUGUGAAUCUCAAAACGUAGAAAAUUUUGAAGACCAAACUCAGUCAGUGGAAAGUGAUGACAAUAUAAACGAUCCUAUUGAAACAGAUAGUUGUAAGAUUGUAGAUGAAAUAAACUUGGAUAGCAAUGACACUGAGACAGAUGUUCAUGAUGAGGAAAAGGAAGUUUCAGACAAUGAAGAAGAAACAGAAAACAGCCAAUCCAAAUUGAAUGAAUCUAAAGAGCUAGAUAAGACAGAGAUUUCAGAAGUUACAAUGAAUGUUGACCAGGUAGAUAUUGAGAGCAUAGAAGAAGAUGAAGUAAUUGAAGUGGAAGAAGAAGAGGAAGACGAAGGGGGAGAUGAAGACGAAGAGACAACAGAGGAAGAAGAAGAAGGAUAUUGCCAUGCAGGCGAUGAAAGUGAAGAAAAUCUUGAAAAUGCAGAGAAAGGAAGUGAAGAGGAAGAAGAGUGUGAAAUAAAAGAAGAAGAAAUAAUUGAAGACAGCCAGGGAAGUGAACCUACUCUAAUUGACAACGAAACCAAGGAUGAAGUAGAAGCCACUGAAGAGCAAGUUGAAUUGGAUGAAGAAGUAAUGGUUGAAGCUGUUGAAGAGAAGAAAGACGUAGAAGAUGAAAUGAAUGAACAUAAUGAUGAAGAAAAAGAGAGUGAAGAUGUUGUUGAAGAAUCAAAUGAGGUAGAAUCAAAAGAAGAUGAAGUGAAAGAGGAAACCUGUGAGGUGGAGGAAACAGAAAGUAAUUUGGAGAGUUUACUUUGUGAGGAGACCAUUCCAGGGAGUCCAGCUCCCACGACUUCUGUACCAGUUGAGAAUCCACCACCUACAUCACCUGAACUGCCAUUUGCCAGUGCUGCUGUCAUAUACAAGCCACCCCAACUUACCCCUGCCCUGCCUCCACCACCUCCACCACCACCACUACUGCCACCACCACCACUCCUACCUCCACCUCCACCAGUUCCACAGGUAGUUAAUGAAGCUGCACCAGUCAUGGAGAACACUCCACCGACAACUCCUGAAAGUAGCUUGUCACCCAUCUCCAACUCUCCGAGAGGAGAACGGAGUGGUUCAUCCCCAGUUCCUGGAAAUGAAAGCUCCAAGUCAAAUCGUGACUCGUCAGAAGUUGACAUGGACACAUUUACUGGUACAACGAAAAUUAGCCAUUACAGUGAAGACGAUACAAAUUGUAGUGUUGGAAAUACCAACAUUUCCUUGAAGAAAGUGCCAAUUGCCGAGGAAACAGAGUCUCACGGAAUCAAGAAAAGAAGAAGAAGCCACAAACGUUCAGAGGAAAAUGUCAAAAGAAUUAAACUAUCACACAGAAGUCCAAGGCAUAGCAAUAUGGGAAGCGAAAGUGAUGAUGAUACAUCUGAAAAUUCGUUAGAUCUCUCUGUGCACUCCCGAUCUCCACGACCUUCGAAAUAUAAUUUUUAUGUUCAAUUAGAUCCUGAGUUAGACGGAUCACAGCGCAUCGCAGUGCUUCAAGAGAAGUUGGCAGAAUUGCGAAAGACAUACAUGACGGUCAAAGCAGAACUCGCUGGCAUUGACCGUCGGCGCAAGAAGUUGCGACGCAGGGAACGGGAGGCCUCAGGUAAACGGAGGACUGCUCACAAGAGGUGGUUGAUAAGUGAUAGUUAGCUCAGGGCUAAGAUACACCUGUUAUCAACAUUGCUGAUUGUGUUGCCCAAAUUGAAGACGAAUGUUAAACCAGAAGUCCCGUGCUCGUGAUGGCAGCUUCACUCCAUGUAAUUUUCAAGACUUAACUAGAAUAGUAUCAGUAGCAUAAGAUAGAAGCAACAUAUUUUUCCAAUCAACUUUAUUAAAUGUUUUUUAUUACAGAUUAUAAUAAUAUAUUUGUAUAAGAAGUUGGUCAAUGACAGCAAUAUUAGGGUUAAUAUUCCUGGGGAAUAUCUGUCAUAUAUAUAAAUAUAUAUAUAUUUGGAUACAAUUUUAAAUGUACGAAAGACAAAUUAUUUUACUGUACAGUAAAUCAUAUAUUUGUAUAUGAUCAUUAUAUUUUUAUUAUUUUUUAUUGUAUAUAUUUAUAUAGAGUUUGUUUCAAUUUUUUUUAGAUCAAUCUAGUAUGUUGAUUUUGUAGUUGUUUUUAAAUGUUGUAUUUAUGAUAAGUGUCUCAAGCUUAUAGUCUUAAGUUGUUAAGUUUUUGUAAUUAAUUGAAGAUGUACAAUUAGAAUUUUUUAAAUAAAUUACAAUGUAUUAAAUAAUAGAGAAAGGAAUUGGAAAUUGUGAACUACGAACACUUUUUCCAUUCACCAGAAAAGUGCUUCAGCUUCCAUUAUACUGUUAUAUUAAUGUAAUAUUGUAUUAUUAAUGUAUGAAAUCAUUAUACGAAAUAAUUAACCUGUAUAGUGUAGAAAAGAGAUUUUAUACAUUUUUGUAAUGAAUUUUGAUUUUUGAAAUCAUCACAUAAAAUUGUAGAAUUUUUACUUAGUACUAAGACUUUUGUUUGAUACUUCUGUAGUUAAUUUGUAUUGAAAUGGUAAUAUAACUUUAUGUUCGUUUCCUUGGUUGUAUGGCGGAUUAGUAGCAUACCCUCAUAAUCUGUCCAUUAAAAAUUUUGUUUUGGUUUGUUAUGGGCGUAAAUUAAAAUAAUUAUUGUAAAUAAAUAUAAACACCUCUUUAAUAAUUUUUCUUGAUUAGAAUAAAAUAAAUUACAAUAAAAUUCAAGGUUGAGAAAAACCAUUGUUUUUAUUUGAAGUGAUGAUAAAGUUCAAUGACUAAAAUAGACAAUGAUUGUUGUAUUAAAAAUAUAUUUUGUAAUUAAAAUAAAUUAGUGCAA